GGGGAUGUGGCUUAAGUGGUAAUGCACUCGCCUAGCAUGCGAGAGGCACUGGGUUCGAUUCUCAGCCCUA
This 70-nucleotide transfer RNA is filed under the name Ictidomys tridecemlineatus (thirteen-lined ground squirrel). Its description in RNAcentral is "Spermophilus tridecemlineatus (thirteen-lined ground squirrel) tRNA". It matches the Rfam family "tRNA". From Rfam's summary of the family: Transfer RNA (tRNA) molecules are approximately 80 nucleotides in length. Lineage: Eukaryota; Metazoa; Chordata; Mammalia; Rodentia; Sciuridae. The record is from Rfam by way of RNAcentral.